RNAcentral lists this ribosomal RNA (468 nucleotides) under uncultured bacterium. RNAcentral describes it as "partial 16S ribosomal RNA". It matches the Rfam family "Bacterial small subunit ribosomal RNA", at positions 28 to 507 of the family's 1533-position model. The record is from RNAcentral.
GACGAACGCUGGCGGCGUGCUUAACACAUGCAAGUCGAACGGAAAGGCCCUGCUUUUGUGGGGUGCUCGAGUGGCGAACGGGUGAGUAACACGUGAGUAACCUGCCCUUGACUUUGGGAUAACUUCAGGAAACUGGGGCUAAUACCGGAUAGGAGCUCCUGCUGUAUGGUGGGGGUUGGAAAGUUUCGGCGGUUGGGGAUGGACUCGCGGCUUAUCAGCUUGUUGGUGGGGUAGUGGCUUACCAAGGCUUUGACGGGUAGCCGGCCUGAGAGGGUGACCGGCCACAUUGGGACAGAGAUACGGCCCGGACUCCUACGGGGUGCAGCAGUGUGGAAUAUUGCACAAUGGGCGGAAGCCUGAUGCAGCAACGCCGCGUGCGGGGUUACGGCCUUCGGGUUGUAGGCCGCUUUCGCCUGUGACGAAGCGUGAGUGACGGUAAUGGGUAAAGAAGCACCGGCUAACUACGUG